Molecule: non-coding RNA, 455 nt
Organism: Pelobates cultripes (western spadefoot toad)
Lineage: Eukaryota; Metazoa; Chordata; Amphibia; Anura; Pelobatidae
Source: the annotation of a GenBank genome assembly
GAGAAAGGAAACGUAGAAGGAAAAGUCAGGUAAUAUGCUCAUAUCGCGCACUGGUAAGCACAACAAAGACCAUCUGGUCUUACCAAUCGCCAGGUGUGAUUGGGGAGUACGAUCCCGUGAAUCACCAGCGCACUGUGUCCGCGAGCUUCGUAGGACCAUGUACCUAAACCCAUUUAACGCUGUAACGCUAUUGGAGGUUACUAGUGUGAUCGAUUGUGCGACACCCUAUCCCGAUUAACCCAAUCAUCUAUUAACAACUGUAACCCCAGAGUAUCUAACUUCAUCUACCAUCUGCAACUUCCUCCCCUUCGGGCCCAUCCCGUAUCCAUGAUAUCGCAUACCCUUCCCACCCUCACUCUCUGGGCUUCCUUUCCACUAUGACAACUAAAGAAGGAGGCCAAGUCCGGGUUACCUAUCCGCUACUCUAUAGAUUAGUGCACCCCCAUUGAUCUCCU